AGUCGAGCGGACAGAAGGGAAGCUUGCUCCCGGAUGUUAGCGGCGGACGGGUGAGUAACACGUGGGUAACCUGCCUGUAAGACUGGGAUAACUCCGGGAAACCGGAGCUAAUACCGGAUAGUUCCUUGAACCGCAUGGUUCAAGGAUGAAAGACGGUUUCGGCUGUCACUUACAGAUGGACCCGCGGCGCAUUAGCUAGUUGGUGGGGUAAUGGCUCACCAAGGCGACGAUGCGUAGCCGACCUGAGAGGGUGAUCGGCCACACUGGGACUGAGACACGGCCCAGACUCCUACGGGAGGCAGCAGUAGGGAAUCUUCCGCAAUGGACGAAAGUCUGACGGAGCAACGCCGCGUGAGUGAUGAAGGUUUUCGGAUCGUAAAGCUCUGUUGUUAGGGAAGAACAAGUGCGAGAGUAACUGCUCGCACCUUGACGGUACCUAACCAGAAAGCCACGGCUAACUACGUGCCAGCAGCCGCGGUAAUACGUAGGUGGCAAGCGUUGUCCGGAAUUAUUGGGCGUAAAGGGCUCGCAGGCGGUUUCUUAAGUCUGAUGUGAAAGCCCCCGGCUCAACCGGGGAGGGUCAUUGGAAACUGGGAAACUUGAGUGCAGAAGAGGAGAGUGGAAUUCCACGUGUAGCGGUGAAAUGCGUAGAGAUGUGGAGGAACACCAGUGGCGAAGGCGACUCUCUGGUCUGUAACUGACGCUGAGGAGCGAAAGCGUGGGGGAGCGAACAGGAUUAGAUACCCUGGGUAGUCCACGCCGUAAACGAUGAGUG
RNAcentral lists this ribosomal RNA (775 nucleotides) under Bacillus safensis. RNAcentral describes it as "bacterial SSU rRNA". It matches the Rfam family "Bacterial small subunit ribosomal RNA", at positions 60 to 815 of the family's 1533-position model. Lineage: Bacteria; Bacillati; Bacillota; Bacilli; Caryophanales; Bacillaceae. The record is from RNAcentral.